UGACGCUGCACCCCACGGUUUAGGUUCUAGGGGGCGCCAAAGAUAACCCUAAAAUCCACAUAUUUAAAAGUCUUAUAACUUUUUAUUUUUGUCCUCACUGGCCUCCAAGUUUUCUAGGAUGAUGCAAUGUCCAGCCAUCAACACAUUUGUGAAGGAAUUUUUACUCCCCAAAAGAGCGCCCCCCCAUGGCAGGAGAAAAAAGUCCAUUUUUUCUUGUCCCCUAAGGUGAAAAUACACAUUGUUGAGUGUCACGCCUAUACGCUUUGUCAAAAUGACACAAAAAUUGACACACACAUGUAACUCAAUAAGAUCUACGAAAAAGUCAAUGCGCGCGUAUCUGUCAAAUGUACGGUUAAAGGGUUAUUCCGCAUUUUUUGCCGAUCCGCACACAUUUGAAUGUGGCUAACUCCUCCUAAGGCUUUCGUUCCACCGGCACCACAUUUGCUCAGGCCAAUCUACACCCCGUGGCCAUUAAAAGUUAUUCAAAUCAUGACGCUGCACCCCACGGUUUAGGUUCUAGGGGGCGCCAAAGAUAACCCUAAAAUCCACAUAUUUAAAAGUCUUAUAACUUUUUAUUUUUGUCCUCACUGGCCUCCAAGUUUUCUAGGAUGAUGCAAUGUCCAGCCAUCAACACAUUUGUGAAGGAAUUUUUACUCCCCAAAAGAGCGCCCCCCCAUGGCAGGAGAAAAAAGUCAAUUUUUUCUUGUCCCCUAAGGUGAAAAUACAUAUUGUUGAGAUUCACGCCUAUACGCUUUGUCAUAUUGACACAAAAUUUGACAAUCACGUGCCUUGCCUGGUAUCAUUUUUUUCAGCACAACCUCACCUGUGCGAAUUUACAGUUAUUUUAUCAUGUUGACAUACUGAAUUUACACAAUGGACCCAAAUUCACACACAAAACAUAAAAUCCGAGUGGAAAAAAGUAACAUUUUUACUGUGAAA
Molecule: non-coding RNA, 939 nt
Organism: Xyrichtys novacula (pearly razorfish)
Lineage: Eukaryota; Metazoa; Chordata; Actinopteri; Labriformes; Labridae
Source: the annotation of a GenBank genome assembly